GACGAACGCUGGCGGCGUGCUUUACACAUGCAAGUCGAACGGAAAGGCCCCUUUGGGGGUACUCGAGUGGCGAACGGGUGAGUAACACGUGAGUAACCUGCCCUUGACUUCGGGAUAACUUCAGGAAACUGGGGCUAAUACCGGAUAGGAAUCCUUGCUGCAUGGUGGGGGUUGGAAAGCUUCGGCGGUUUUGGAUGGACUCGCGGCUUAUCAGCUUGUUGGUGGGGUAGUGGCUUACCAAGGCUUUGACGGGUAGCCGGCCUGAGAGGGCGACCGGCCACAUUGGGACUGAGAUACGGCCCAGACUCCUACGGGAGGCAGCAGUGGGGAAUAUUGCACAAUGGGCGGAAGCCUGAUGCAGCAACGCCGCGUGCGGGAUGACGGCCUUCGGGUUGUAAACCGCUUUCAGCAGGGGCGAAGCUUGUGGUGACGGUACCUGCAGAAGAAGCACCGGCUAACUACGUG
RNAcentral lists this ribosomal RNA (465 nucleotides) under uncultured bacterium. RNAcentral describes it as "partial 16S ribosomal RNA". It matches the Rfam family "Bacterial small subunit ribosomal RNA", at positions 28 to 507 of the family's 1533-position model. The record is from RNAcentral.